UGAGCAACCUACCGAACCGUGGGGAUAGCCGGCCUAACGGCCGAGUAAUACCUCAUACGCUCUCAGGGAGGCAUUUCUUUGAGAGGAAACCUACGGGACAGAUCGAGGGCUCGCGGCCUAUCAGCUAGUUGGCGAGGUAACGGCUCACCAAGGCAACGACGGGUAGCUGGUCUGAGAGGAUGGCCAGCCACAUUGGAACUGAGACACGGCCCAGACUCCUACGGGAGCAG
Molecule: ribosomal RNA, 230 nt
Filed under: uncultured bacterium
Lineage: Bacteria
Description: partial 16S ribosomal RNA
Rfam family: Bacterial small subunit ribosomal RNA
Source: RNAcentral